UAUAUAUAUUGUUGACAAAGCAUCACUAUCAACCGAAAUCCGCUCAGAAAUUUUUUUCAUAAGCUACAAUGGUUUAUCGUUGCUUCCGGAUACAAAUUAAUGUCUUUUCUAUAUCCUACCUUACCAACUUCUCAUCAACAACAUUGGCUGCACUCAUCGUGUGAAGUAUGUCCGUCUUUUUCACUUGUGUUAUUUUAGCAC
Cinara cedri is the source of this 201-nucleotide non-coding RNA. The record is from the annotation of a GenBank genome assembly. NCBI's taxonomy places the organism in Eukaryota, Metazoa, Arthropoda, Insecta, Hemiptera, Aphididae.